GGAGGGGUGGCCGAGUGGUCGAUGGCGCCGGUCUUGAAAACCGGAAGACUCGCGAGAGUCUCGUGGGUUCGAAUCCCACCCCCUCCGCCA
RNAcentral lists this transfer RNA (90 nucleotides) under Thermoanaerobaculia bacterium. RNAcentral describes it as "tRNA-Ser". It matches the Rfam family "tRNA". Rfam says of the family: Transfer RNA (tRNA) molecules are approximately 80 nucleotides in length. The record is from RNAcentral. Lineage: Bacteria; Pseudomonadati; Acidobacteriota; Thermoanaerobaculia. RNAcentral also lists the same sequence under 1 other name.